This 301-nucleotide ribosomal RNA is filed under the name uncultured bacterium. RNAcentral describes it as "partial 16S ribosomal RNA". It matches the Rfam family "Bacterial small subunit ribosomal RNA", at positions 509 to 807 of the family's 1533-position model. The record is from RNAcentral.
CAGCAGCCACGGGAAUACGUAGGGUGCAAGCGUUAAUCGGAAUUACUGGGCGUAAAGCGUGCGCAGGCGGUUAUAUAAGACAGAUGUGAAAUCCCCGGGCUCAACCUGGGAACUGCAUUUGUGACUGUAUAGCUAGAGUACGGCAGAGGGGGAUGGAAUUCCGCGUGUAGCAGUGAAAUGCGUAGAUAUGCGGAGGAACACCGAUGGCGAAGGCAAUCCCCUGGGCCUGUACUGACGCUGAUGCACGAAAGCGUGGGGAGCAAACAGGAUUAGAUACCCCGGUAGUCCCUGUCUCUUAUAC